RNAcentral lists this ribosomal RNA (281 nucleotides) under uncultured Staphylococcus sp. RNAcentral's name for it is "partial 16S ribosomal RNA". It matches the Rfam family "Bacterial small subunit ribosomal RNA", at positions 81 to 355 of the family's 1533-position model. The record is from RNAcentral. Lineage: Bacteria; Bacillati; Bacillota; Bacilli; Caryophanales; Staphylococcaceae.
CUCCUUUGACGUUAGCGGCGGACGGGUGAGUAACACGUGGGUAACCUACCUAUAAGACUGGGAUAACUUCGGGAAACCGGAGCUAAUACCGGAUAAUAUUUCGAACCGCAUGGUUCGAUAGUGAAAGGUGGUUUUGCUAUCACUUAUAGAUGGACCCGCGCCGUAUUAGCUAGUUGGUAAGGUAACGGCUUACCAAGGCGACGAUACGUAGCCGACCUGAGAGGGUGAUCGGCCACACUGGAACUGAGACACGGUCCAGACUCCUACGGGAGGCAGCAGCC